This 1192-nucleotide ribosomal RNA is filed under the name Haptophyta environmental samples. Its description in RNAcentral is "SSU rRNA". It matches the Rfam family "Eukaryotic small subunit ribosomal RNA", at positions 427 to 1644 of the family's 1831-position model. Lineage: Eukaryota; Haptophyta. The record is from RNAcentral.
AGCAGGCGCGUAAAUUGCCCGAAUCCUGACACAGGGAGGUAGUGACAAGAAAUAACGAUACAGGGCUACAUCUAGUCUUGUAAUUGGAAUGAGUACAAUUUACAUCUCUUAACGAUGAUCAAUUGGAGGGCAAGUCUGGUGCCAGCAGCCGCGGUAAUUCCAGCUCCAAUAGCGUGUAUUAAAGUUGUUGCAGUUAGAACGCUCGUAGUCGGAUUUCGGGGCGUUCCGACCGGUCUGCCGAUGGGUAUGCACUGGCCGGAGUGUCCUUUUUGCCGGAGACCGUGCCUACUCUUAACUGAGCGGGGGCGGGAGACGGCAUUUUUACUUUGAAAAAAUCAGAGUGUUUCAAGCAGGCAGCUCGCUCUUGCAUGGAUUAGCAUGGGAUAAUGAAAUAGGACUUUGGUGCUAUUUUGUUGGUUUCGAACACCGAAGUAAUGAUGAGAAGGGACAGUCAGGGGCACUCGUAUUCCGCAGAGAGAGGUGAAAUUCUCAGACCCGCGGAAGACGAACCACUGCGAAAGCAUUUGCCAGGGAUGUUUUCACUGAUCAAGAACGAAAGUUAGGGGAUCGAAGAUGAUCAGAUACCGUCGUAGUCUUAACCAUAAACCAUGCCGACUAGGGAUUGGAGGAUGUUCACUGAUUGACUCCUUCAGCACCUUACGGGAAACUAAAGUCUUUGGGUUCCGGGGGGAGUAUGGUCGCAAGGCUGAAACUUAAAGGAAUUGACGGAAGGGCACCACCAGGUGUGGAGCCUGCGGCUUAAUUUGACUCAACACGGGGAAACUUACCAGGUCCAGACAUUGUGAGGAUUGACAGAUUGAGAGCUCUUUCAUGAUUUAAUGGGUGGUGGUGCAUGGCCGUUCUUAGUUGGUGGAGUGAUUUGUCUGGUUUAAUUCCGUUAACGAACGAGACCUUAGCCUGCUAAAUAGUGACGCGAACUCUUUGUUGGCGGUCCACUUCUUAGAGGGACAACUUGUCUUCAACUAGUGGAAGUUUGAGGCAAUAACAGGUCUGUGAUGCCCUUAGAUGUUCUGGGCCGCACGCGCGCUACACUGAUGCACUCAACGAGUCUCCACCUUGACCGAGAGGUCCGGGAAACCUUCGAACUUGCAUCGUGAUGGGGAUAGAUUAUUGCAACUAUUAAUCUUCAACGAGGAAUACCUAGUAGGCGCAUGUCAUCAGCGCACGUUGA